UACGUAGGGAGCGAGCGUUGUCCGGAUUCAUUGGGCGUAAAGAGCUCGUAGGCGGCUUGGCAAGUCGGGUGUGAAAACUCCAGGCUCAACCUGGAGACGCCACCCGAUACUGCCAUGGCUAGAGUCCGGUAGGGGACCACGGAAUUCCUGGUGUAGCGGUGAAAUGCGCAGAUAUCAGGAGGAACACCGGUGGCGAAGGCGAAUCUCUGGACAGUUACUGACACUGAGGCACGAAGGCCAGGGGAGCAAACGGG
This 254-nucleotide ribosomal RNA is filed under the name uncultured bacterium. RNAcentral describes it as "partial 16S ribosomal RNA". It matches the Rfam family "Bacterial small subunit ribosomal RNA", at positions 524 to 776 of the family's 1533-position model. The record is from RNAcentral.